Molecule: ribosomal RNA, 233 nt
Filed under: uncultured bacterium
Lineage: Bacteria
Description: partial 16S ribosomal RNA
Rfam family: Bacterial small subunit ribosomal RNA
Source: RNAcentral
CGGGUAGCGGAACACGUACAGAACCUUCCUUUAAGCGGGGGAUAGCCCAUAGAAAUGUGGAUUAAUACCCCAUAAUAUUAUUGACUGGCAUCAGUUGAUAAUUAAAGAUUUAUCACUUAAAGAUGGCUGUGCGGCUGAUUAGGUAGUUGGUUGGGGUAACGGCCCACCAAGCCAUCGAUCAGUAACUGGUGUGAGAGCACGACCAGUCACACGGGCACUGAGACACGGGCCCG